Calidris pugnax (ruff) is the source of this 795-nucleotide long non-coding RNA. RefSeq lists it as uncharacterized. NCBI's taxonomy places the organism in Eukaryota, Metazoa, Chordata, Aves, Charadriiformes, Scolopacidae. The record is from RefSeq and is a predicted model, not a curated record. The transcript has 3 exons.
GAGCAGAAAGGGCUGUUCUUCAUUUCUCAGCAGACUUUCUGUGAAUUGUUUGGCAACUCAUUUGGAAAAAGGUCCUCAGCAAAAGAUAGGUGCUGAAGAAACUUCCAAAGUUUAAAUCUUUGGAAAGUGCUCUCCAAGGAUAUAAUGCAGUGGGUGCUCCCAGAGCGUGCCAGCUGGACUGAGCCCUGCAGCUCUCUCCACAGUAGUUGGAAGGAAAUCCAGUGCUCUAUAGGUCAGGUUGUUAUUGUGAGCAAAUAUCAAAGGUGCAAUAUCAGCUCAGAUUGAAGACCCAGCUGGCCUAAUGUCUCAUCUGUAGCAGUGACUGGUCCUUAGGAAAGAGUGGAAAGAAACAGAAUUUGAAUGGAUUUGCCUCAUCCUAAUUUCUGGAAGUCAGCACUUUAAGAGCUUGAUAAUGCUUUUUUUUUUAUAAGUCUUUGGAAAAAAAACUGAGUCAGCUUGUGUUAGUCUUGCAUUCUUCAGAGACAUCUGAGUGGUUUUGUGAUGCGUGAGUGUGCUCUAUAGAAGCUGUGUUCACUUUUCCUCAGUAUGUCAUAUAUAUUAAUGUGUAAACUAUUUUUUUUUUAUACAUACUUUUAUUGGAAUUUCCGCUAUUGCUUAUGAUACAGAAGUAAAAUUUUUCUGAACUGUGGAAAUCUUAACCCUUCCUGGUUAGCACCCUAAUAAAAUUCACCAAAAAGCUAAUGGCAGCACUGUGGGAAUGUGAGGUUAAUUUAACCUUUAAGACUGAUUUAAAGAGCAGUCUGUGUUUAAAAAAAAAAACCCAACAAAAAAACC